AUGCUAGCGAAGGCUGUUCCUCGCCCCUGCUCCGGCGCUGGCCGCCAUGGCGCGCCAGCGGCGAGGCUGCGGUCUGUCGGCGUCGCCGGAGGUCCGAGGAGAGGAGGAGCCGGUGGCAGGCUCGUGGCGGCGGACGCAGGGGAGAGGAUGCCGGUGGUGGCUGUGGCUGCCGGGAAGCAGCCCUUCAAUGGAGCAGCCAUGGCAGGUAUCGACAAGCUUGUGACCUCAACUGUUGGGAAAUCGACAAACAUUCUUUGGCAUGACUGUCCAAUAGCUCAGUUUGAGAGGCAGAAACUGCUAAAUCAGAAGGGUUGUGUUGUGUGGAUAACAGGGUUAAGUGGUUCAGGGAAAAGCACACUAGCAUGCGCGCUAAGUCGCGAGCUGCACUCCAGAGGUCAUCUGACCUACAUUCUAGACGGUGACAAUCUAAGGCAUGGGUUAAACCGAGACCUCUGUUUCGAAGCAAAGGACCGUGCUGAAAAUAUACGCAGAGUAGGAGAAGUAGCAAAGCUGUUUGCAGAUGCUGGUCUGAUCUGCAUUGCUAGCUUGAUAUCGCCCUACAGAAGUGAACGCAGCGCUUGCCGUAAAUUACUGCACAAUUCUACAUUCAUUGAGGUGUUUUUGAAUGUCCCACUUGAAGUUUGUGAAGCCAGGGAUCCAAAAGGCUUGUACAAGCUUGCCCGUGCAGGAAAAAUCAAAGGGUUUACUGGAAUUGAUGAUCCUUAUGAACCACCUUCUGACUGCGAGAUAGUGAUACAGUGCAAAGCUGGUGACUGCGCCACGCCUAAAUCGAUGGCUGAUCAAGUUGUGUCAUAUCUCGAAGCAAAUGAGUUCUUACAGGAUUAG
RNAcentral lists this ribosomal RNA (846 nucleotides) under Triticum aestivum (bread wheat). RNAcentral describes it as "partial small subunit ribosomal RNA". Lineage: Eukaryota; Viridiplantae; Streptophyta; Magnoliopsida; Poales; Poaceae. The record is from RNAcentral.